RNA transcript from Nycticebus coucang (slow loris), 1537 nucleotides. It is a transcript of the gene named fumarate hydratase, mitochondrial-like, with no coding region annotated. The transcript has a single exon. NCBI's taxonomy places the organism in Eukaryota, Metazoa, Chordata, Mammalia, Primates, Lorisidae. The record is from RefSeq and is a predicted model, not a curated record.
AUGUACCAAGCACUCCGUCUUCUCGCGCCGUCACGUUGCCUUCUGCGAACUCCAGCCGCAGCCUCAGCUCCCGGCUCUAGCAGCACAGCUGUCCCCUCGUUCUGGGUCCCGAACGCGGCUCAAAUGGCAAGCCAGAAUUCCUUCUGGAUAGAAUAUACCUUUGGUGAACUCAAGGUCCCAAAUGAUAAGUAUUAUGGCACCCAGACUGUAAGAUCUACGAUGAACUUUAAGAUUGGAGGUGUGAUGGAAUGCAUGCCAGUCCCAGUUAUUAAAGCUUUUGGCAUCUUGAGCAGCUGCUGAAGUAAACCAGGACUAUGGUCUUGAUCCAAAGAUUGCUGAUGUGAUCAUGAAGGCGGCAGACGAGGUGGAUGAAGGUAAAUGAUCAUUUUCCUCUUGUGUGGCAGACUGGAUCCGGAACCCAGACGAAUAUGAAUGUAAAUGAAGUCAUUAGCAAUAGAGCAAUUGAAAUAUUAGGAGGUGAACUUGGUAGCAAGAGCCCUGUGCAUCCCAAUGAUCAUGUUAAUAAAAGCCAGAGCUCAAAUGAUAUUUUCCCCACAGCAAUGCACAUUGCUGCUGCAGUAGAGGUUCUUCAAGUGCUGUUACCAGGACUGCAGAAGCUCCAUGAUGCUCUCCAGGCAAAAUCCAAAGAGUUUGCACAGAUCAUCAAAAUGAGGCGUACUCACACACAGGAUGCUGUUUCCACUUAAUCUUGGGCAGGAAUUUAGUGGUUAUGUUCAACAAGUGGCCUAUGCAAUGGCGAGAAUCAAAGCUGCCAUGCCAAUGAUCUACGAGCUUGCAGCCGGAGGCACCGCUGUUGGGACUAGAGUUGGCUUCACAGAAAAAGUUGCUGCAAAAGUGGCUUCAUUCACGGGCUUGCCAUUUGUCACCACUCCAAAUAAAUUUGAAGCUCUGGCUGCUCAUGAUGCUCUGGUUGAGCUCAGUGGAGCCAUGAACACUACUGCUUGCAGUCUAAUGAAGACAGCAAAUUAUAUCCAUUUUUUGGGUUCUGGUCCUCGGUCAGGUCUAAGUGAACUGAUUUUGCCUGAAAAUCAACCAUGAAGCAGUAUCAUGCCAGGCAAAGUGACCCCCACUCAGUGUGAAGCAAUGACCAUGGUUGCAGCCCAGGUCAUGGGCAAUCAUGUCAUUGUGACUGUUAGAGGCAGCAGUGGACACUUUGAGUUGAACGUUUUUAAGCCAAUGAUGAUGAAGAAUGUGUUACACUCAGCCAGGCUGCUGGGGGAUGCUUCAGUUUCUUUCACAGAAAACUGUGUGGUGGGAAUCCAGGCCAACACAAAGGAUCAACAAGCUGAUGCAUGAGUCUCUAAUGUUGGUGACAGCUCUCAAUCCUCACAUAGGGAAUGACAAGGCAGCAAAGAUUGCUAAGACAGCACACAAAAAUGGAUCAACCUUAAAAGAAACUGCUAUUGAACUUGGCUAUCUCACAGCAGAGCAGUUUGAUCAGUGGGUAAAACCUAAGGACAUGCUGGGUCCAAAGUGAUCUAAAUAAAUGUAUAUUGAAAAUAAACAUAUAUAAAAU